AAAAUUAAAGGCGCGCGCAUCGAGCUUGCUGAGGAGAAACUGGGUGAAGAACAAACAAUAUUCCAACUUCUGCAAAAAUCCUUCUGCUCAGACAACUUGUUUGUUUAAAUUUUAAUACCGGGAGACUGGGGCCAGCAAGAACCUACCAGAAGAGGGAAAUUUUUUUAUGGCAGCUUCUUGCACAAUACCAACAUGAUUGGCCUUGAGACAUUGGAAGAUCCCACAGAUACCUGGGAAAUAAUAGAGACAAUUGGAAAAGGAACCUAUGGAAAAGUCUACAAAGUUUCUAAUAAGAAGGAUGGUAGCCAAGCUGCUGUCAAAGUGCUGGACACUAUCAGUGUUGUUGAUGAAGAAAUUGAAGCAGAAUAUAGCAUCCUGCAGUCACUAUCAAAUCAUCGGAAUGUUGUUAAAUUCUAUGGAAUGUUCUACAAAGCAGAUUUGAAAUCUGGUGGUCACCUCUGGUUAGUUCUAGAGCUGUGCAAUGGAGGUUCUGUCACUGAACUCAUCACAAAUGUACUGAAGCGUGGUGAAUGCAUGGAUGAAGCACUAAUCUCAUACAUUUUGUAUGGGGCACUUUUGGGUCUUCAGCAUUUGCACAACAACAGAAUUAUUCAUCGUGAUGUUAAGGGCAACAACAUUCUUCUGACAACAGAAGGAGGAAUCAAGCUGGUUGAUUUUGGUGUCUCAGCUAAGCUUACAAAUGCGAGAUUACGUCGCAAUACUUCCGUGGGUACACCCUUUUGGAUGGCACCUGAGGUCAUUGCUUGUGAACAGCAGUUGGACUACUCGUAUGAUAGCCGAUGUGAUGUAUGGUCAUUAGGUAUCACAGCAAUUGAGCUUGGUGAUGGUGAGCCACCAUUGUCUGAUCUGCAUCCUGUGAAAGCACUCUUUAAGAUUCCAAGAAACCCGCCACCUACUUUGUUAUACCCGGAAAAAUGGUCUGCAGAGUUCAACCGGUUCAUUUCACAGUGUCUUAUUAAAGACUUUGAAAAGCGUCCAUCAGUUACAUUCUUGUUGAAACACCCAUUUAUUAAGCAUGCUCAUGGGAAAGAUGUGACCCUACAACAACAAUUAGCUAAGCUGAUCAAAGUACAACAACAGCAGUGUUCAGCAAAAACAAGCAGGCAAAAAAAUACCAGAAAAAAUCACAUGACAGCCUCAGAGGGUUGCAGUCAGAAGAUGACUGAUGACUUGGUCACCCUUGAAUUCUUAGAUGAGGAAACCAUCAUAUACUGUCUACAGAAAAGGUACUCAGAGUUACAGAUAUACACCUACGUUGGGGACAUUUUAAUUGCUUUAAACCCUUUCCAGGACCUACCUAUUUACACUCCAGAGUUUUCUAAGCUUUAUCAUGGUGUCAAGCGUUCUUCAAAUCCUCCACACAUUUUUGCCACAGCGGAUGCUGCAUAUCAAGGAAUGGUAACUUUUAGCAAAGACCAGUGCAUUAUCAUAAGUGGAGAAAGUGGUGCCGGGAAGACAGAGAGUGCACAUUUGAUUGUUCAACACUUAACCUAUCUGGGAAAGGCUAAUAACCGUGUUCUGCGAGAGAAAAUUCUUCAAGUUAAUCCACUUGUGGAAGCCUUUGGAAAUGCUUGCACUGCAAUCAAUGAUAAUUCCAGUCGAUUUGGGAAAUAUCUAGAAAUGAAGUUCACUCCCACAGGGGCUGUAAUGGGAGCAAAGAUCUCUGAAUAUUUGUUAGAAAAAUCAAGAGUUAUUCAACAACCUGCAUGCGAGAAGAACUUUCACAUUUUUUAUUACAUCUAUGCUGGUCUCUAUGAUCAGAAGAAACUGACAGAAUAUAAACUUGCUGAAAAUAAACCUCCAAGUAGGUAUAUUGAUAACGAAAAAGACACACUUAUGCAGGACAUCUUAACCAACAGCUCAUACAGAGAGCAAUUUGAAGCCAUUCAGCAUUGUUUCAGAAUCAUUGGAUUCACUGAUGAGGAAGUUCGGUCAGUGUACAGAGUUCUUGCUGCAAUCCUGAAUACUGGAAAUAUUGAGUUUGCACCCAUUGCCUCAAAACAUCAAAUGGAUAAAAGUGAAAUUCCAGAUGGAGAGCCUUUGGAAAAUACUUCAGCUCUGCUUAGUAUUGGUUCUGAAGAGUUUCAGGAAGCACUUACUUCUCACUGUGUUGUGACACGGGGAGAAACUAUAAUUCGUACAAAUACAGUAGAUGAAGCAUCUGAUGUUCGAGAUGCCAUGUCAAAGGCCUUAUAUGGAAGACUAUUCAGCUGGAUUGUAAACCGCAUCAAUACGCUUCUUCAACCUGAUAAAAGUGUAUGCAAUCCUGAAAGUGUAAUGAAUGUUGGGAUUCUGGACAUCUUUGGGUUUGAGAACUUCAAGAAGAACUCCUUUGAACAACUAUGUAUCAACAUUGCCAAUGAACAGAUCCAAUUUUACUUCAAUCAACACAUCUUCGCUCUUGAACAGAUUGAAUACCAAAAUGAGGGAAUUGAUGCCACACUUGUGGAAUAUCAGGAUAAUCGACCAAUACUGGAUAUGUUCCUUCAGAAACCAAUGGGCUUAUUGUCUCUGCUUGAUGAAGAGAGCCGUUUCCCUAAAGCAUCUGACCAGACACUCGUAGAUAAGUUUGAAGACAAUCUACGAUCAAAUUACUUUUGGAGACCAAAAGGUGUGGAACUAUGUUUUGGAAUCAAACACUAUGCUGGCAAGGUUUUUUACGACCCAUGUGGUUUCCUUGAAAAAAACAGAGACACGCUUCCUGCAGAUAUAGUGGUGGUACUUCGGACAUCAGAAAAUAAAUUGCUUCAGCAACUCUUUUCCAAUCCACUCACAAAAACAGGUAACUUAGCACAGUCAAGAGCAAAAGUAAAUGCAGCAUCAAGGUCAUUACCUCCACAGCUUACUGUAGGCUGCAAAAAGUCUCCUAAAUACUUGCUGAAGGUUGAUACAAUGGAAGUUAUGCGACAUCCCGAGGAAACAACAAACAUGAAACGACAAACUGUGGCUUCUUACUUUAGGGUGGAUUUCUUUCUUAUCUGGCAGUAUUCAUUAAUGGAUCUACUGUCUAAAAUGGUGGUUGGUCAGCCUCAUUUUGUCCGUUGCAUCAAACCCAAUGAUGACCGACAAGCAGAAAAAUUUUUUGAAGAAAGAGUUCUGGUUCAACUGCGGUACACUGGCAUUUUGGAAACUACACGCAUUCGAGCACAAGGAUACUCUCAUCGCAUCCUCUUUGAAGAGUUUGUUAAAAGAUACUACUACCUUGCCUUCAGGGCACAUCAGACACCUCCUGCUAAUUGUGCAAGCUGUACUGCCAUUCUAAAGAAAGCAAGACUAAACAAGUGGAUGCUUGGAAAAACUAAGGUGUUUCUUAAGUAUUAUCAAGUAGAACAGUUAAAUUUACUGCUCCGAGAAGUCAUUGCCAGCAUUGUGGUUAUUCAAGCCCACAUCAAAGGCUGGCUGGGAGCCAGAAGAUACAAGAAAGCACAAGCAAAAAAACAAAGCAGUGCCAUCAUCAUCCAGUCAGCCUGGAGAGGAUAUGUUGCUCAUAAAAUCUACAAACAACUGAAGACACAAAGUGAAGCUGCCAUUUGUAUUCAAACAGGUAUCAGGGGCUAUCUAGCUCGCAAACAAUAUAAAACAAUGAAAGAAAGUUAUAUAUUGGCAACAGGGCAAGAGUUCCAGACCACAGAAUGUAGAUCCAGCAAUGAUUAUGAACAAAUAAGCCACAUCAGUUACAAUGAAACUCAUAACAUUGAUGAGAAGAAUGAGGAAGAUAAAAAGGCUUCUGAUGAGGUAGUGAAUCAACUACCACCAAGUGAAACACAGCCUCAAGCCCAUCCAAUUAUGAAAGGAUCAAGAAAGGAAACUGAACAAAAACAGUUAAGAAUACCUCGUCGACGAAUGCAGCAGCCCAAAAUGCUGAACAGCCCUGAGGACAGCCUGUAUUAUAACCAGUUAAAUGGAAUCCUACAAUACCAAGAGAGUAAAAGAAAGCCAAGAAAACUUGGUCAAAUCAAAGUGCUGGACAUUGAAGAUGAAUAUUACAAAUCACUGUCAUGUAUUGAACCUGUCCCUGAGGAAGAUGAUUCAUUGAACCCUCCCCCUCCUAUUCCAAGAGGACCAGGUUUUACUCAUAGCUGAAAGUGGGCUCUAUAGAUGCCAUCUCUUCAGUAUUUAGUUAUAGGAACCAAUCCAUAUGUAUGUAGGUUGACUUCGAUCCACUUUCAUUUGAAGCCAAGAAACAUGAAAAAUUGUCAGUAUUUUAAUGUUUAAACAAGAUUGAACCAUGAACAUACAAUUGUUUCAUUGAAUAGUCUGGUGAUUUCUCUUUAAAAAUAUUAUGCUUUCGAUUAAGAAGUUGAUUUGGAAUUGAAGGUAACACAUUACUUCCUUUGUGCCACUCAGAUAGGAGUAGUUUAUUAUUAAAGCCAUUUGUGACGUAGAGACAGUAAUCCAUCUCAUAAUUUGAAAUAUCUAAAUUUGUAUCUCCUUUUGUGGUAACUUUAAGUCGGAUGAAAUCAAACUGCAUUCAGAAUCUAUUCUCUUGUUUAAUUAUACCAAGUGAUGCUUGCUAAGAUCCAAUGCAUUGUCUAUAAAAAAUUGAUAAUCAAAAUCUGAACUUUGCUUUUACAAAACAUUUUUUGAUUAAGACUUUGUGCAACAAAAUUUAAAAAUGUCAUGUUUGUUAUUAAAUUGAAACAUGCCUUGGUUUACUCACCAGGUGAGUGAUUUACUUUUAAUUAGCAUGUUCAUGUGAUGUAAAACAUGGUUGGUGUCUCAGCAUUUAGCAUUGAACUCGAAUUAUAGCACUAUAAUUUUCAAAUAAAUAUGUAUUUGUGGCCUUUUAAUGGUGUGAAAACCAUUCAUACUAAUCAAUGUUUCAACAUGUGUAUCAAGUUGAAUAAAAUGAAAUAUGGAAUGA
This is an RNA transcript of Carcharodon carcharias (great white shark), 4885 nucleotides long. It is a transcript of the gene named myosin IIIB, with no coding region annotated. Lineage: Eukaryota; Metazoa; Chordata; Chondrichthyes; Lamniformes; Lamnidae. The transcript is spliced from 37 exons. The record is from RefSeq and is a predicted model, not a curated record.